AAACCAGAGCUAAAAUUGGUUAAAUAUCCGAACAUGUUCAAAACUUUGGUAUCUAGAGAACCUGAACUAAACCCGAUUCAACCUGAAAUAUUUUGGAUAUCUGAAUCAAAUUUAUAUAUUUAAAUAUAUUAAUUAUCUUAAAAUUUAAUAUAUAACAAUAUCUAGUAUAUAAGAUAUUUUGAAGUUGUCUAAAAUAACUGAAAAUAUAUACAAUCAAAAGUAAUUAUAAAAAUAGCUAAACAAUAAUCAAACACCAAUUAUACUUAAAAUAUAUAUUAAUUUUCUAUUCAAAUAUUUAAGCCAAACCAAUUUAUAUAUUAGGUUUAUGUACUUUGGCAUACAUUAUUUUAAUUUAUAUGUAAUAUAUUAUUUUUAUUUUUAGAUUUUGAGAAAUUUGAAUUAUAUAUGAAUUUAAUUUUUUAAAAAAUAAUUUAAACGAGCUAUCCGAACCCAAACCGAGUCCGCAAAGAUCCGAACCAAAAUUUAUAAUUACCUGAAUGGGGCUGAUAUCUUUAACUCAGAAUAUCCAAAACCCGAAUAGAC
Molecule: long non-coding RNA, 543 nt
Filed under: Brassica napus (rape)
Lineage: Eukaryota; Viridiplantae; Streptophyta; Magnoliopsida; Brassicales; Brassicaceae
Description: long non-coding RNA (BNAP_LNC011320)
Source: RNAcentral